AAAAAAAUUUAUAGAUAAAAAAUUUAUUUAAUUUCUUUUUUUUAGCUCAUGUAGCACUAAUGAAGGAAUUAGGAAAUAUGAAAAUAAAAAAGUUUUUUAGCCUAGUGGAGAAGACGUUUGUGAAAAAGACCACUUUUGUCUUGAAGGGGAAGAGAGUGACACAAUUGAUGAAGGGAACGAUGCAAACAAGUCAGAUGAAAAUGUCAAGAUAUUGCCUGAUGAAGAGAUAGAAGAAUACAGCUUUUGACCACAUAUUUAUAUAAUGAAAAUAUUUAUUAAAUUUUUUAUAUCUUA
This is a non-coding RNA of Parasteatoda tepidariorum (common house spider), 294 nucleotides long. The record is from RefSeq and is a predicted model, not a curated record. Lineage: Eukaryota; Metazoa; Arthropoda; Arachnida; Araneae; Theridiidae.